This is a long non-coding RNA of Oncorhynchus tshawytscha (Chinook salmon), 1283 nucleotides long. The record is from Ensembl. NCBI's taxonomy places the organism in Eukaryota, Metazoa, Chordata, Actinopteri, Salmoniformes, Salmonidae.
CUGAAAUUAACAUUGACACGCUUAAAUGAAAAAUAUACUCCAUAGGAAGAGUGAAUUGAGUCACAAAAUUAACAUCUUCAACAAUUUUAUUUUAUCCCACUCUUAACCCCUUCCUCCCUCUUUCCUUACAGUGCUGUGAGGUCACAAGUAUCUCCCUCACUGGAGUUUUUCCCUGUUCGCUCUUCUUCACCACCCUCCUUCCUUCCAUCAGUUCUCUCUCCUUUCAUGUUAUACUGGCCUCCCUCGCUCCCACUCUUCCUCUUCAACGCCUCCUUUUUCUCAUCAUCCUCUAGGUUCUUGGCUCUCUCGCUGAGGUCAAUCCCGUCUAAACUGGAGUAGUCGUCUGAGGAAUCUCCUUCAUCCUGUCCCCCUCUCACUCCUGCAGCAGCCUCUCCAUCUCCACUCUUCCCCCCCUCUCCCUCCUCCUCGUCCCCCUCCACCACUCUCUUCCCGGGCCAGAGGCUGAGCCCCAGCCAAUCCUCCAGGCUUCUAACCCUGCCCCUCAUGCGCUCCCUGACGCCCAAUAACAGCCGAGGGGCGGAGCCAUCCUGGCCUGAGUGGCGGCUGUUCCACUUGUAGAAGCACAGCACGGUAAUCGCUAGGAGAAGAAUGAUGACCAGGACCACGAUGAACCCCGUAUUUAACAGAGCAGUUUGUGUGUUCUCGUUGAAAGCUCCAUUUGAGACAGGCGUGGCUUCAUGGACGAAGAUCAAGAGGACCAGGGAGAGCAUGCUCAGCGCCAGGGUGAUAUUGGCCUUCAUUGUGACUGAGAGAGAGAGACAGAGAGAAAUGGAGGAUAAGGUGAUGUCAGCCUAACAUGGUGGGUGACAGGAAGAAAUGUAACACAGGCCUAAAUGACUCAUAUGAGGUGGAGAAUGAGAACAAGAAACAGAACACCAAAGUAGGUUACAACAUAUUUGCUGUUUUAAGUGUACAAUAAAAGGGACUUAAAGUUAAUAUUUAUGUUCAGAUUAAUUUCAUGCAUCGGAAACACAAAGGUGUGCUAGCAUGCACACGCACGCAUGCACCGACACACAGGAAAUGGCGGUGUGCUCCAGAAGCUGUUAACAGGAACUAAAGGCUGCUUUUGCGGCUGAGCCACCUGUCCUGCAUCCUCCCUCGUUUUGCAAACUGAACCACCAUUUGACAACGCAUGCAACUAGCAGAAGAAGGUGCAUGAGAGGAAAAAGAGAGAGAACGCCCAGUCUAAACAUUCACAUUACUAUCGCAGAUUCAAAAUGGCUGAAUUUUCCCUUAAGAAAGCAGAAACACUAAGUAACCGA